Molecule: ribosomal RNA, 469 nt
Filed under: uncultured bacterium
Lineage: Bacteria
Description: partial 16S ribosomal RNA
Rfam family: Bacterial small subunit ribosomal RNA
Source: RNAcentral
GACGAACGCUGGCGGCGUGCUUAACACAUGCAAGUCGAACGGUGAAGCGAGUGCUUGCACUCGUGGAUCAGUGGCGAACGGGUGAGUAACACGUGAGUAACCUGCCCAUCACUCUGGGAUAAGCACUGGAAACGGUGUCUAAUACUGGAUACGACCAACCCUUGCAUGGGGUGUUGGUGGAAAGAUUUAUCGGUGAUGGAUGGACUCGCGGCCUAUCAGCUUGUUGGCGGGGUAAUGGCCCACCAAGGCGACGACGGGUAGCCGGCCUGAGAGGGUGACCGGCCACACUGGGACUGAGACACGGCCCAGACUCCUACGGGAGGCAGCAGUGGGGAAUAUUGCACAAUGGGCGGAAGCCUGAUGCAGCGACGCCGCGUGGGGGAUGACGGCCUUCGGGUUGUAAACCUCUUUCAGCAGGGAAGAAGCGAAAGUGACGGUACCUGCAGAAGAAGCACCGGCUAACUACGUG